This 500-nucleotide ribosomal RNA is filed under the name uncultured bacterium. RNAcentral's name for it is "bacterial SSU rRNA". It matches the Rfam family "Bacterial small subunit ribosomal RNA", at positions 29 to 526 of the family's 1533-position model. The record is from RNAcentral.
AAUGAACGUUGGCGGCGUGGAUUAGGCAUGCAAGUCGAGCGCGAACCCCGCAAGGGGGGAGAGCGGCAAACGGGGUAGUAACGGGUAGGUGACGUACCCUCGGGUUGGGGAUAGCCACGGGAAACUGUGGGUAAUACCCAAUACUCUCCUGGAGCUUGAAGGCUUCGGGAGCAAAGGUGUGAUUCCACCGGAGGAUCGGCCUGCUUCGUAUUAGCUAGUUGGUGAGGUAACGGCUCACCAAGGCAUCGAUGCGUAGGGGGUGUGAGAGCAUGACCCCCACCACUGGGACUGAGAUACUGCCCAGACACCUACGGGUGGCUGCAGUCGAGAAUCUUCGGCAAUGGGCGCAAGCCUGACCGAGCGACGCCGCGUGUGGGAUGAAGGCCCUUGGGUUGUAAACCACUGUCAGAGGGGAUGAAGUGCCAGAGAGUUAUCUCUUUGGUUUGACAUAGCCUCAGAGGAAGCACGGGCUAAGUUCGUGCCAGCAGCCGCAGUAAUAC